RNAcentral lists this ribosomal RNA (434 nucleotides) under uncultured bacterium. Its description in RNAcentral is "partial 16S ribosomal RNA". It matches the Rfam family "Bacterial small subunit ribosomal RNA", at positions 29 to 507 of the family's 1533-position model. The record is from RNAcentral.
AGCGAACGCUGGCGGCAGGCCUAACACAUGCAAGUCGAACGAACCUUUCGGGGUUAGUGGCGGACGGGUGAGUAACACGUGGGAACGUGCCUUUAGGUUCGGAAUAACUCAGGGAAACUUGUGCUAAUACCGAAUGUGCCCUUCGGGGGAAAGAUCUAUCGCCUUUAGGGCGGCCCGCGUCUGAUUAGCUAGUUGGUUGAGGUAAUGGCUCACCAAGGCGACGAUCAGUAGCUGGUCUGAGAGGAUGAUCAGCCACAUUGGGACUGAGACACGGCCCAAACUCCUACGGGAGGCAGCAGUGGGGAAUCUUGCGCAAUGGGCGAAAGCCUGACGCAGCCAUGCCGCGUGAAUGAUGAAGGUCUUAGGAUUGUAAAAUUCUUUCACCGGGGACGAUAAUGACGGUACCCGGAGAAGAAGCCCCGGCUAACUUCGUG